RNAcentral lists this ribosomal RNA (424 nucleotides) under uncultured prokaryote. RNAcentral describes it as "bacterial SSU rRNA". It matches the Rfam family "Bacterial small subunit ribosomal RNA", at positions 355 to 796 of the family's 1533-position model. The record is from RNAcentral.
UGGGGAAUAUUCGGCAAUGGGCGAAAGCCUGACCGAGCCAUGCCGCGUGAGUGAUGAAGGCCUUAGGGUUGUAAAGCUCUUUCAACGGGGAAGAUAAUGACGGUACCCGUAGAAGAAGCCCCGGCUAACUUCGUGCCAGCAGCCGCGGUAAUACGAAGGGGGCUAGCGUUGUUCGGAAUUACUGGGCGUAAAGCGCACGUAGGCGGCUUGUUAAGUCGGGGGUGAAAUCCCGGGGCUCAACCCCGGAACUGCCCUCGAUACUGGCAAGCUAGAGUCCGGAAGAGGUGAGUGGAAUACCGAGUGUAGAGGUGAAAUUCGUAGAUAUUCGGUGGAACACCAGUGGCGAAGGCGGCUCACUGGUCCGGUACUGACGCUGAGGUGCGAAAGCGUGGGGAGCAAACAGGAUUAGAUACCCCCGUAGUCC